Molecule: long non-coding RNA, 1399 nt
Organism: Temnothorax curvispinosus
Lineage: Eukaryota; Metazoa; Arthropoda; Insecta; Hymenoptera; Formicidae
Exons: 4
Source: RefSeq, a predicted model, not a curated record
UAAAAAAAUCCAUGUUUACCCGAGAAGUGAGCGUUCCGAGUCGAAAUAUCUCGCACGUAGUGUUGCCGCUUUUCCGCGUGCGUGAUUGGCCGGUCGAAGCCGGGUGAUCGAGAUCGCGGCGAGUUCCGCGAAUUUCGUGCGUGUGCGUCGUGAUCAAUCGUAUUGUGACAGUUCGCGUCGUGUCGUUAGGAGGUUAAUAUUAUUAUUAAUGUGAUCUCUCAUCAUUAAAUACGAUUGUUUAAUUCCGAAUUUCGGUCGCGUCACGCAAGGAUCGAAGUGACGACGGCGAUCGAGAUCGCGGCGAGUUUGGCGAGUUUCGCGCGUGUAUCGCGUGAUGUGACGUGUGUUCGCGUGGUGUGUUUGCGAGAUAUACCGAUAAAUUUAAUGUUCGAGAAGAUCUGAUGGGAUUAGCUGUUGGUGCUCAUGGCACAAAUAUUCAACAAGCGUGAAAAGUUGAUGACAUUACAAAUAUAGUUAGAAGAAAAUUCAUGCACAUUUAAGAUAUAUAGAGAGACGCAUGAAGCUGUUAAGAAAGACCGAUCUAUGCUGGAAUACAACGGUAACCUAAAAAUAGAUAGUGACAGUGGCAGAGUCGUGACCAUCGCUGCGUGAUAGAUGAUAGUGAUAGUGAAAUAUAUAUUGACGGCAGGGAGCUGAUGCCGAGGAGACCUUUCAGAAGGAAGGUGUAUCCAAAAUCGCACACGUACGUAUAUAUGUUGUUUUGUAAAAGUUGUAAAAGUUAAGAGAACGAGAAAGUGAUCUGUAUUUAUAUGCACGUGUGACAGGCACUAUCGGGUAAUAAAGAUUUCUCCGAAGAAUGUUUAUAUUGUACUUUACUUUCGUUAACUUGAAUGCUUUGAAUGUACAAUCUCGCGUCUUCAAAAUAUAAUAAUUCUCAGACACUGUUGAGGAAUAAUUGUCUAGCACAAAAGGUCCUUUUGUGCUAGAUAAUACGAGUUGCUACAGAGUGCCUCUAAUUAUAAGAAUCUCUUCUCCUUUACCCCCUCUUUCUUUUCCCAAUCCCGAAUUAACACUAUUGCAUGGUUCGUAUCGCGUGUCAUUACCUACUAUAAAUGUCCUCCUUUUCUCUCGUUUUCUCACGCAGGAACAUUUUAUAUUCAACUAUAUAGUACACAAUUUUGCCGCUAUAUAUUGACCGCAGGGAGCUGAUACCGAAGAGAUCUUUAAGAAGGAAGGUGUAGCCAAAAUUGCACAUGUAUGGGACUUAUAAGUUAUGCGAAGGAAUUGAUACUAUUAAGAUUCAUUGGUUAUAUGAAGUUUGCACACGUCAAGCUUGACAUCCUUAAGAUCACAAUGCAUUCUGAAAACGAUACCGUGCAGGUUCGUUGGCGUAUACGUGGUGUCACAGGCUGGAAGGUAUUUUCUAUGUUUUGGAAGU